RNAcentral lists this ribosomal RNA (454 nucleotides) under uncultured bacterium. RNAcentral's name for it is "partial 16S ribosomal RNA". It matches the Rfam family "Bacterial small subunit ribosomal RNA", at positions 28 to 507 of the family's 1533-position model. The record is from RNAcentral.
GAUGAACGCUGACAGAAUGCUUAACACAUGCAAGUCAACUUGAACUUCGGUUUGGGUGGCGGACGGGUGAGUAACGCGUAAAGAACUUGCCUCACAGCUAGGGACAACAUUUGGAAACGAAUGCUAAUACCUGAUAUUAUGAUUUUAGGGCAUCCUAGAAUUAUGAAAGCUAUAUGCGCUGUGAGAGAGCUUUGCGUCCCAUUAGCUAGUUGGAGAGGUAACGGCUCACCAAGGCGAUGAUGGGUAGCCGGCCUGAGAGGGUGAACGGCCACAAGGGGACUGAGCCACGGCCCUUACUCCUACGGGAGGCAGCAGUGGGGAAUAUUGGACAAUGGACCAAGAGUCUGAUCCAGCAAUUCUGUGUGCACGAUGAAGUUUUUCGGAAUGUAAAGUGCUUUCAGUUGGGAAGAAAAAAAUGACGGUACCAACAGAAGAAGUGACGGCUAAAUACGUG